Molecule: RNA transcript, 1115 nt
Organism: Theobroma umbraticum
Lineage: Eukaryota; Viridiplantae; Streptophyta; Magnoliopsida; Malvales; Malvaceae
Gene name: CURVATURE THYLAKOID protein
Source: RefSeq, a predicted model, not a curated record
UUACCCACUUUUUAUGAUAAACUCAAUUCUCUUCUUCCGAUCAGAAUCUUCGUUCUUUUUAUGAUAAAUCUAAUCCCUGUUGGACUUUAAAGCAAAUUACCCACUUCGCCAAAUCACUUCUUUUUUUCCGCUUUUUGGUGCUUUCUUUCUAGCAGGUAUUCAUGGCUUCCAUUACAGCAAGUUUGCCUCCGCCGUUGUUCUUGCAAGCGAGAAAAACCCUUUUCAGGACUCUUCGGAAACCUCCAGUUUCUUCUAUAAGAGCAGGGAGACAAAACUGUGCUUUUGUUGUAAAGGCUACAGGGGAAAGCUCUGAGUCUUCCACUUCACUUAGUAUUGUCAAGUCCGUUCAAAAUGUUUGGGAUAAAUCUGAUGAAGAUAGGGUAGGUCUCAUUGGACUGGGAUUUGCAGCUAUAGUGGCCCUGUGGGCAUCAGCAAAUUUGGUUUCGGCUGUUGACAAAUUGCCCCUUAUCCCAAAUGUGCUAGAAGUUAUUGGAAUACUGUUUUCAUUGUGGUUUAUAUAUCGAUAUCUCUUGUUCAAACCUGAUCGGUAAGUAGAAUUCUUUGACUGCAGAGAUUGGUUGAUGGUGAAACCUGUAGAUGUCGCUUGUACAUGAGAUAUUGUUCUCCUACUUCGAAGAAGAGAACACUAUAGGGAAGAACUGUUCCAAAUCAUCAAGAAGUCAUUAUCCGAAAUUUUGGAACAGUGAAUUCUGCUGCCAAACCGUAUUUACAGUAGCGGAGGGUGUAAUUUCUGAACAUAACAGAUAGCCAACCCCUCAGUUGGUUUAUGGUUUGUGUUGUCAUAAUUGAAAUAUGGUGGCAUCUUCAUGGCGUAAUCUUUUUGUAUUGGUGUGAAGUGUGAUGUCCAGAGUUACUAUCCAUGGAAACAACCAAAGCGUAUGUGUGUAGAUGUCAUGGGCAGGUCACAGCGUCACUGUUUCCCCAUGGUGCCGUAUGAAAAAUUUGGACUCAAGUUCAAUUUUUCUUUUGCUUGUGGGUGUGGUUGUAACUUUUGUUCGCAUGUUUGGUUUGGGUUUUUUGUUAGUUUAAAAGUUAUUAUGAUGUUUUUACUGAAAGUAAUAGUUUUUAGAAUUAACCUAAAAUUGUUUGAUAAA